GUGGAGGGCUUUUAUUUUUUCCCAAAAGAAAGCAAGUAAUGUUAGAGCAAUAAUUCUAGUAUCCGAAUUAGUCUUAUCCCUUGGCUCGCUCUAACGUUAUUACUCCCUAAUACUCCCUUUAACCGCAUCCCCCUGGUGCGGUUAUUUUU
This 149-nucleotide small RNA is filed under the name Listeria innocua. RNAcentral describes it as "Listeria sRNA rli32". It matches the Rfam family "Listeria sRNA rli32". Lineage: Bacteria; Bacillati; Bacillota; Bacilli; Caryophanales; Listeriaceae. The record is from Rfam by way of RNAcentral.